This 892-nucleotide ribosomal RNA is filed under the name Schizomida sp. JCM0262.1. Its description in RNAcentral is "SSU rRNA". It matches the Rfam family "Eukaryotic small subunit ribosomal RNA", at positions 53 to 944 of the family's 1831-position model. Lineage: Eukaryota; Metazoa; Arthropoda; Arachnida; Schizomida. The record is from RNAcentral.
GCAUGUCUAAGUACGUGCCUAAGAAAGGUGAAACCGCGAAUGGCUCAUUAAAUCAGUUAUGGUUCCUUAGAUCGUACCUUACUACUUGGAUAACUGUGGUAAUUCUAGAGCUAAUACAUGCAGCAGAGCUCCGACCUUCGGGGACGAGCGCUUUUAUUAGACCAAGACCAAUCGGACUUCGGUCCGAAGCUCAUGGUGACUCUGGAUAACUUUGGGCUGAUCGCACGGUCUCGUACCGGCGACGCAUCUUUCAAGUGUCUGCCUUAUCAACUUUCGAUGGUAGGUUAUGCGCCUACCAUGGUCGUAACGGGUAACGGGGAAUCAGGGUUCGAUUCCGGAGAGGGAGCCUGAGAAACGGCUACCACAUCCAAGGAAGGCAGCAGGCGCGCAAAUUACCCACUCCCGGCACGGGGAGGUAGUGACGAAAAAUAACAAUACGGGACUCUAUUGAGGCCCCGUAAUUGGAAUGAGUACACUCUAAAUCCUUUAACGAGGAUCUAUUGGAGGGCAAGUCUGGUGCCAGCAGCCGCGGUAAUUCCAGCUCCAAUAGCGUAUAUUAAAGUUGUUGCGGUUAAAAAGCUCGUAGUUGGAUCUCAGUUCCAGACGGGUGGUCCACCCCUGGUGGUUACUGCCUGGCCUGAACAAAUCCAGCCGGUUUUCCUUGAUGCUCUUCACCGAGUGUCUUGGGUGACCGGCACGUUUACUUUGAAAAAAUUAGAGUGCUCAAAGCAGGCGUGACGCCUGAAUAAUGGUGCAUGGAAUAAUGGAAUAGGACCUCGGUUCUAUUUUGUUGGUUUUCGGAACACGAGGUAAUGAUUAAGAGGGACAGACGGGGGCAUUCGUAUUGCGACGCUAGAGGUGAAAUUCUUGGACCGUCGCAAGACGAACUACU